AAGGUAGCGAAAUUCCUUGUCGGGUAAGUUCCGACCUGCACGAAUGGCGUAACGAUCUCCACACUGUCUCGGCCAGAGACUCGGUGAAAUUGCAGUCGCGGUGAAAAUUCCGUGUACCCGCAGAAAGACGGAAAGACCCUGUGCACCUUUACUAUAGCUUGACAUUGGAUUUUGGGCCUGCAUGUGUAGGAUAGGUGGGAGGCUGUGAACCCUGUACGCCAGUAUGGGGGGAGCCAUCGUUGAAAUACCACCCUUGCAUGUUUAAGAUCCUAACUUCUUCCGGUCAUCCCGGAGAAAGACAGUGUCUGGCGGGUAGUUUGACUGGGGCGGUCGCCUCCUAAAGUGUAACGGAGGCAUGCAAAGGUUCCCUCAGCCUGAUCGGAAACCAGGCGCUGAGUGCAAACGCAUAAGGGAGCUUGACUGUAAGAGAGACAUCUCGAACAGGAACGAAAGUUGGCGUUAGUGAUCCGGUGGUCCCGAAUGGAAGGGCCAUCGCUCAUUGGAUAAAAGGUACGCCGGGGAUAACAGGCUGAUCGCAUCCAAGAGUUCACAUCGACGAUGCGGUUUGGCACCUCGAUGUCGGCUCAUCACAUCCUGGGGCUGAAGCAGGUCCCAAGGGUACGGCUGUUCGCCGUUUAAAGUGGUACGCGAGCUGGGUUUAAAACGUCGUGAGACAGUUUGGUCCCUAUCUUCUGUGGGCGAAGGAGAAUUGAGAGGGCCUGUCCCUAGUACGAGAGGACCGGGAUGGACGCACCCCUGGUGAUCCUGUUGUCGCGCCAGCGGCACAGCAGGGUAGCUAUGUGCGGAAGGGAUAACCGCUGAAAGCAUCUAAGCGGGAAGCCUGCCUCAAGAUAAGUUCUCCCCUCGAAAGAGCUGAAGGGCCCGGGUAGACUACCCGGUCGAUAGGCUGGAGGUGUAAGCGCGGCGACGCGCUCAGCUGACCAGUACUAAUAGCCCGAGCGGCUUAUUUAU
Molecule: ribosomal RNA, 972 nt
Filed under: human gut metagenome
Description: bacterial LSU rRNA
Rfam family: Bacterial large subunit ribosomal RNA
Source: RNAcentral